UACGAAAGGCCCAAACGUUAUUCGGAAUCACUGGGCUUAAAGAGUUCGUAGGCGGUCUGUCAAGUCGUGUGUGAAAGCCCUCGGCUCAACCGAGGAAUUGCGCUCUAAACUGUCGUACUUGAGGAGCCUAGAGGUGAGCAGAACAGAUGGUGGAGCGGUGAAACGCGUUGAUAUCAUCUGGAAUACCGGAGGCGAAGGCGGCUCACUGGGGGUUUUCUGACGCUGAGGAACGAAAGCCAGGGUAGCGAACGGG
RNAcentral lists this ribosomal RNA (253 nucleotides) under uncultured bacterium. RNAcentral's name for it is "partial 16S ribosomal RNA". It matches the Rfam family "Bacterial small subunit ribosomal RNA", at positions 524 to 776 of the family's 1533-position model. The record is from RNAcentral.